Molecule: long non-coding RNA, 721 nt
Filed under: Nicotiana tabacum (common tobacco)
Lineage: Eukaryota; Viridiplantae; Streptophyta; Magnoliopsida; Solanales; Solanaceae
Description: long non-coding RNA (NTAB_LNC013618)
Source: RNAcentral
GCAUAGUGGAAAGUGAGGUGUCUGUAAUGACCAAAAUACCUCAUAUAAUUGAAGUAGAAAGUCGAAACCUGAGGGGGAUUUUGAAAUUAAAAUAUGGUGAAAGUGACAAUAGCACUUAGGAUCAAUUUACAGUCCAUGGAGCGUGACAGCGUGUCACCCAAGUCAUACUUCAUUUUGGCAACGGCGUAUAAUGGAAAAUUUUCAAUUUACAACAAGCUCGACACUACUUAAUAGCCACUUUGAAGGAACCCUACGUUUUCGUUAUUUUCAGGUAAGUUGAAGAGAAAGACGAAGAUUAACGAGGUAAAAGGCUUUGAAUAUCCAUUUUCAAAUCUCUAUAAUGGAUUCAUUAUCUGUAUUAUCACGUAUUUUUGCGCAAAAUUCAUGUAGUGUCAAGGCUUUGAUCGUAAAAAAGAGAGAAUUUUAAUGAUUUAAGUGCUUUUUUCUUUCUGUACAUUGUCUCGGCCAAAAAAGGGAUCAGUUUGUUUGAUUGGUAAUCCGUGUGUUUUGACUUUUGCAGGCAAUUUUGAAUUCGGAUUUUCACGCAUCUAAAUAUGGUACGUUUAGCAUUAAUCACUUUCUGAGGUGUAGGGUUAGGGUUUUGAGUUCUAAUAUGUUGUGUUAUGAAGCUCUAAUUUCUAUUUUUCUUUUUCUGUCUCAGCUUCCGCUCUCUUUGCUCAAGACUGCACAGGGGCAUCCCAUGGUAAGCUUUUGAACCCCC